UUGGGAACCUGACGAGUCUCC
This 21-nucleotide microRNA is filed under the name Picea abies (Norway spruce). RNAcentral describes it as "pab-miR3710h". The record is from miRBase by way of RNAcentral. Lineage: Eukaryota; Viridiplantae; Streptophyta; Pinopsida; Pinales; Pinaceae.